Molecule: ribosomal RNA, 601 nt
Filed under: uncultured actinomycete
Lineage: Bacteria; Bacillati; Actinomycetota; Actinomycetes; Actinomycetales
Description: bacterial SSU rRNA
Rfam family: Bacterial small subunit ribosomal RNA
Source: RNAcentral
GUGGGGUAACGGCCUACCAAGACAAUGACGAGUAGCUGGUCUGAGAGGACGAUCAGCCACACUGGAACUGAGACACGGUCCAGACUCCUACGGGAGGCAGCAGCAGGGAAUCUUGCGCAAUGGGCGAAAGCCUGACGCAGCGACACCGCGUGGGGGAUGAAGGCCUUCGGGUUGUAAACCCCUUUCAGGAGGGAAGAAAUUGACGGUACCUCCACAAGAAGCACCGGCCAACUACGUGCCAGCAGCCGCGGUAAUACGUAGGGUGCAAGCGUUAUCCGGAAUCAUUGGGCAUAAAGAGCUCGUAGGCGGUUCAGCAAGUCGGCUGUGAAAGUCCGAGGCUCAACCUCGGAAUUGCAGUCGAUACUGCUGUGACUCGAGUCCGGUAGAGGAGAAUGGAAUUCCCGGUGUAGCGGUGAAAUGCGCAGAUAUCGGGAGGAACACCAGUAGCGAAGGCGGUUCUCUGGGCCGGCACUGACGCUGAGGAGCGAAAGCGUGGGGAGCAAACAGGAUUAGAUACCCUGGUAGUCCACGCCGUAAACGUUGGAUACUAGGUGUGGCGUCCCGAUCAACGGAUGCCGUGCCGAAGCUAACGCAUUAAGUA